This 442-nucleotide ribosomal RNA is filed under the name uncultured bacterium. RNAcentral describes it as "partial 16S ribosomal RNA". It matches the Rfam family "Bacterial small subunit ribosomal RNA", at positions 338 to 795 of the family's 1533-position model. The record is from RNAcentral.
CCUACGGGAGGCAGCAGUGGGGAAUAUUGGGCAAUGGGCGAAAGCCUGACCCAGCAACGCCGCGUGAAGGAAGAAGGCUUUCGGGUUGUAAACUUCUUUUGACAGGGAAGAGCAGAAGACGGUACCUGUCGAAUAAGCCACGGCUAACUACGUGCCAGCAGCCGCGGUAAUACGUAGGUGGCAAGCGUUGUCCGGAUUUACUGGGUGUAAAGGGCGUGUAGCCGAGCUGACAAGUCAGAUGUGAAAUCCGGGGGCUCAACCCCCGAACUGCAUUUGAAACUGUUGGUCUUGAGUACAGUUGAGGUAGGCGGAAUUCGUGGUGUAGCGGUGAAAUGCAUAGAUAUCACGCAGAACCCCGAUUGCGAAGGCAGCCUUCCGGCGCCCUACUGACGCUGAGGCACGAAAGUGCGGGGAUCGAACAGGAUUAGAUACCCGGGUAGUC